AGCACGCAUGACGGGUGUUCGAGGUCUGGCGUUUUGGUCUUCCAAAGCGCUAGUCUCGUUCUGAGAAAUUACCGUUAAAACUUGAUCUGGACAAUACCAGCGAAAGGACAUGCAUGCUUUAUUGC
Molecule: non-coding RNA, 125 nt
Filed under: Penicillium griseofulvum
Lineage: Eukaryota; Fungi; Ascomycota; Eurotiomycetes; Eurotiales; Aspergillaceae
Description: TPP sequence
Rfam family: TPP riboswitch aptamer (THI element)
About the family: Vitamin B(1) in its active form thiamin pyrophosphate (TPP) is an essential coenzyme that is synthesised by coupling of pyrimidine and thiazole moieties in bacteria.
Source: Rfam by way of RNAcentral